GGCGGCCAGCCCCAGGCUGGGCCCUGGCAGGAGUCUUUGAUCUGGGUGCAUUCCAUACUGAGAGCCAUGGCUCAUGAGGGACAGGUCGUGGCGGCGGUAGGCAUCGAGGCAGCCCAACUCCCGCCUCUGCUCGUCCAGGCAGGAGGACUUGAGAGCCCGCGCAUUGUGCAGUUAUGUAUUGGUGGUGCACAUGGUUAUCCAGCUGGAGCCCUCAUUUCCAGCCUCACUGGCAGCUAGCUGUGGCCACAUGAUUUCUUUGCAAGUGAAUGUGAGUGGAAUUGAUGUGGGAAAUUCUAUGUCUUCAUUUAAAGACAUUUGUGUGUUUUCAGAUAACUUCCUUUCCCAUUCAUAUAAGUGAUAAGUAACCAGCUUUGACAAAGAAGACAAGAACAAUCAUAGCAUAUUCAAUAUGCAAGGCUACUGACAUCACAUUGCUCUUUCAUAGCCUGCUGAAGUACACAUAUUUACUAGGAGCUGUGGUCAAGGUGAGGACAUCAAUGGAAUUGUGACAACAUUAUCAUCCAUUGAACAAUGUUUCCUUAAUGGACACAGAAAAUGUGGUUCAUUUACACAAUGGAAUACUAAUGCACAAAUGCUGGGAUUACGUGGGUGUGUGCCACGGCAUCUGGCUUUUACAGCAUAGAGAAAGCAAAGCAAAACACAACAUGGAAGUGACCCAAACCCUAUCAAAUUGUACUCUUGGGUGUACUAUACACAGCAUGUUUCAUGAAACAGCCUUCUGUUUCAUGGCUAGCCUGGGUGGAUGAAGGCAAAUAUCAUCGAUCAAUGUCUAAACAGUGGAAAUAAACAAAAAUA
RNAcentral lists this long non-coding RNA (816 nucleotides) under Mus pahari (shrew mouse). RNAcentral describes it as "lncRNA (MGP_PahariEiJ_G0003561.1)". Lineage: Eukaryota; Metazoa; Chordata; Mammalia; Rodentia; Muridae. The record is from RNAcentral.